GACGAACGCUGGCGGCGUGCUUAACACACGCAAGUCGAACGGAAAGGCCCUGCUUUUGUGGGGUGCUCGAGUGGCGAACGGGUGAGUAACACGUGAGUAACCUGCCCUUGACUUUGGGAUAACUUCAGGAAACUGGGGCUAAUACCGGAUAGGAGCUCCUGCUGCAUGGUGGGGGUUGGAAAGUUUCGGCGGUUGGGGAUGGACUCGCGGCUUAUCAGCUUGUUGGUGGGGUAGUGGCUUACCAAGGCUUUGACGGGUAGCCGGCCUGAGAGGGUGACCGGCCACAUUGGGACUGAGAUACGGCCCAGACUCCUACGGGAGGCAGCAGUGGGGAAUAUUGCACAAUGGGCGGAAGCCUGAUGCAGCAACGCCGCGUGCGGGAUGACGGCCUUCGGGUUGUAAACCGCUUUCGCCUGUGACGAAGCGUGAGUGACGGUAAUGGGUAAAGAAGCACCGGCUAACUACGUGCCAGCAGCCGCGGUGAUACGUAGGGUGCGAGCGUUGUCCGGAUUUAUUGGGCGUAAAGGGCUCGUAGGUGGUUGAUCGCGUCGGAAGUGUAAUCUUGGGGCUUAACCCUGAGCGUGCUUUCGAUACGGGUUGACUUGAGGAAGGUAGGGGAGAAUGGAAUUCCUGGUGGAGCGGUGGAAUGCGCAGAUAUCAGGAGGAACACCAGUGGCGAAGGCGGUUCUCUGGGCCUUUCCUGGCGCUGAGGAGCGAAAGCGUGGGGAGCGAACAGGCUUAGAUACCCUGGUAGUCCACGCUGUAAACGGUGGGUACUAGGUGUGGGGUCCAUUCCACGGGUUCCGUGCCGUAGCUAACGCUUUAAGUACCCCGCCUGGGGAGUACGGCCGCAAGGCUAAAACUCAAAGGAAUUGACGGGGCCCCGCACAAGCGGCGGAGCAUGCGGAUUAAUUCGAUGCAACGCGUAGAACCUUACCUGGGUUUGACAUGGAUCGGGAGUGCUCAGAGAUGGGUGUGCCUCUUUUGGGGUCGGUUCACAGGUGGUGCAUGGCUGUCGUCAGCUCGUGUCGUGAGAUGUUGGGUUAAGUCCCGCAACGAGCGCAACCCUUGUUCACUGUUGCCAGCACGUUAUGGUGGGGACUCAGUGGAGACCGCCGGGGUCAACUCGGAGGAAGGUGGGGAUGACGUCAAGUCAUCAUGCCCCUUAUGUCCAGGGCUUCACGCAUGCUACAAUGGCUGGUACAGAGAGUGGCGAGCCUGUGAGGGUGAGCGAAUCUCGGAAAGCCGGUCUCAGUUCGGAUUGGGGUCUGCAACUCGACCUCAUGAAGUCGGAGUCGCUAGUAAUCGCAGAUCAGCAACGCUGCGGUGAAUACGUUCCCGGGGCU
Molecule: ribosomal RNA, 1346 nt
Filed under: uncultured bacterium
Lineage: Bacteria
Description: partial 16S ribosomal RNA
Rfam family: Bacterial small subunit ribosomal RNA
Source: RNAcentral